RNAcentral lists this transfer RNA (73 nucleotides) under Actinomycetes bacterium. Its description in RNAcentral is "tRNA-Lys". It matches the Rfam family "tRNA". Rfam says of the family: Transfer RNA (tRNA) molecules are approximately 80 nucleotides in length. The record is from RNAcentral. RNAcentral also lists the same sequence under 2 other names. Lineage: Bacteria; Bacillati; Actinomycetota; Actinomycetes.
GCGUUCUUAGCUCAGUUGGUAGAGCAGGUGACUCUUAAUCACCGGGUCGGGGGUUCGAGUCCCUCAGGACGCA